GCAGUCGAAGGAGAAAUUAGUGCUUGCACUAAUGGAAACUGGCGAACGGGUGCAGUAACACGUGAGAAUCUAUCUUAAGGUGGGGGAUAGCCUAUGGAAACAUGGGAUAAUACCGCAUGUGUGUGGCCAUUAAAUUAUUUAAGAUUAUUUUUAAGUAAUUUAAUGGCCACAUAAAAGGAACUAUUGUUCCGCCUUUUGAUGAGCUUGCGGUCCAUUAGCUAGUUGGUAGGGUAAGAGCCUACCAAGGCAACGAUGGAUAGCCGGCCUGAGAGGGUGACCGGCCACAUUGGGACUGAGACACGGCCCAGACUCCUACGGGAGGCAGCAGCUAAGAAUCUUCCGCAAUGGGAGCAAUCCUGACGGAGCGACGCCGCGUGAACGAUGAAGGCGGAAACGUUGUAAAGUUCUUUUAUACGGGAAGAAUAAUGAUACGAGUGGAAAAUGUGUCAGAUGACGGUACCGUAUGAAUAAGCUCCGGCUAACUACGUGCCAGCAGCCGCGGUAAUACGUAGGGGGCAAGCGUUGUUCGGAUUUAUUGGGCGUAAAGGGCAUGUAGGCUGUUAUGCAAGUGUGGAUUUAAAGACCAAGGCUCAACCUUGUGUAUGGUCUGCAAACUGCAUAACUAGAGUUCAGAAGGGGGAACUGGAAUUCCGCGUGUAGGGGUGAAAUCUGUAGAGAUGCGGAAGAAUACCGGUGGCGAAGGCGAGUUCCUGGCCUGAAACUGACGCUGAUAUGCGAAAGUGUGGGGAGCGAACAGGAUUAGAUACCCCUGGGUAGUCCACACUGUAAACGUUGUACACUAGGUGCUGGUGAUUUAAUAUCUUUAGUGCCGUAGCUAA
This 839-nucleotide ribosomal RNA is filed under the name uncultured bacterium. RNAcentral describes it as "bacterial SSU rRNA". It matches the Rfam family "Bacterial small subunit ribosomal RNA", at positions 57 to 855 of the family's 1533-position model. The record is from RNAcentral.